RNAcentral lists this transfer RNA (76 nucleotides) under Muribaculaceae bacterium. RNAcentral describes it as "tRNA-Gly". It matches the Rfam family "tRNA". Rfam says of the family: Transfer RNA (tRNA) molecules are approximately 80 nucleotides in length. Their secondary structure includes four short double-helical elements and three loops (D, anti-codon, and T loops). The record is from RNAcentral. Lineage: Bacteria; Pseudomonadati; Bacteroidota; Bacteroidia; Bacteroidales; Muribaculaceae.
GCGGUAGUAGCUCAGCUGGUAGAGCAUUGUCUUCCCAAGCCGAGGGUCGCGGGUUCGAGUCCCGUCUACCGCUCCA